AUGCAAGUCGAACGGCAGCAGCAAGAGCUUGCUCUUGGCUGGCGAGUGGCGGACGGGUGAGUAACGCGUAGGGAUCUGCCUUCUAGCGGGGGACAACUCGGGGAAACUCGAGCUAAUACCCCAUGUGGCCUACGGGCUAAAGGGUGCCUCUGAUUAAAGCAUUCGCUAGGAGAUGAACCUGCGUCCGAUUAGCUUGUUGGUGGGGUAAAAGCUUACCAAGGCGACGAUCGGUAGCUGGUCUGAGAGGACGAACAGCCACACUGGGACUGAGACACGGCCCAGACUCCUACGGGAGGCAGCAGUGGGGAAUAUUGGACAAUGGGCGCAAGCCUGAUCCAGCAAUGCCGCGUGUGUGAAGAAGGCCUGCGGGUUGUAAAGCACUUUCAGAGGGGAAGAGGGGUGUUGUUGUUAAUAGCAGCAAUACUUGACGUUACCUUCAGAAGAAGCACCGGCUAACUCUGUGCCAGCAGCCGCGGUAAUACAGAGGGUGCAAGCGUUAAUCGGAAUCACUGGGCGUAAAGGGUGCGUAGGCGGACUGAUAAGUUUUAUGUGAAAUUCCCGGGCUUAACCUGGGGUGGUCAUAGGAUACUGUUAGUCUAGAGUACAGUAGAGGUUAGUGGAAUUCCCAGUGUAGCGGUGAAAUGCGUAGAUAUUGGGAGGAACACCAGUGGCGAAGGCGGCUGACUGGACUGAUACUGACGCUGAGGCACGAAAGCGUGGGUAGCAAACAGGAUUAGAUACCCUGGUAGUCCACGCUGUAAACGCUGAAUA
This 771-nucleotide ribosomal RNA is filed under the name uncultured marine bacterium. RNAcentral describes it as "bacterial SSU rRNA". It matches the Rfam family "Bacterial small subunit ribosomal RNA", at positions 55 to 815 of the family's 1533-position model. The record is from RNAcentral.